CAGUAGCCGCGGUAAUACGUAGGGUGCAAGCGUUAAUCGGAAUUACUGGGCGUAAAGCGUGCGCAGGCGGUUAUAUAAGACAGAUGUGAAAUCCCCGGGCUCAACCUGGGAACUGCAUUUGUGACUGUAUAGCUAGAGUACGGCAGAGGGGGAUGGAAUUCCGCGUGUAACAGUGAAAUGCGUAGAUAUGCGGAGGAACACCGAUGGCGAAGGCAAUCCCCUGGGCCUGUACUGACGCUCAUGCACGAAAGCGUGGGGAGCAAACAGGAUUAGAUACCCCCGUAGUCCCUGUCUCUUAUAC
This 301-nucleotide ribosomal RNA is filed under the name uncultured bacterium. RNAcentral's name for it is "partial 16S ribosomal RNA". It matches the Rfam family "Bacterial small subunit ribosomal RNA", at positions 509 to 807 of the family's 1533-position model. The record is from RNAcentral.